GUGCUCGCUUCGGCAGCACAUAUACUAAAUUUGGAACGAUACAGAGAAGAUUAGCAUGGCCCCUGCACUAGGAUGACACGCAGGAUGAUUUAGCCAUUGACCCAUCAU
Ochotona curzoniae (black-lipped pika) is the source of this 108-nucleotide small nuclear RNA. The record is from RefSeq and is a predicted model, not a curated record. Lineage: Eukaryota; Metazoa; Chordata; Mammalia; Lagomorpha; Ochotonidae.